GACACACUAUUAAGGAAAGUUAUACUAAUAAUAAGAACACAAUACACAUUACCAUCUUUUAAAUACAAUUAGAUAUUACUAACGCAACAAGCAACAGAACUGAAUAACAGUAAAGGACACUAAGCUGCACUAUUAAGACAAUUACAUAUUUCUAACACAUUAAGUAAUACAACUGUGUAACAAUAAAGGACACUAUGUUACACUAUUAAGAUACUCCUAACACAUCAAGCAAUACAACUGAAUAACAGUAAAGGACACUAUGCUACACUACUAAGGUAGUGUAAACACAAACUCUUACCACAACAAGUGAUGUACUGGGCUAUAAGGAAUGAA
This is a long non-coding RNA of Amphimedon queenslandica, 333 nucleotides long. RefSeq lists it as uncharacterized. The transcript is spliced from 3 exons. The record is from RefSeq and is a predicted model, not a curated record. NCBI's taxonomy places the organism in Eukaryota, Metazoa, Porifera, Demospongiae, Haplosclerida, Niphatidae.